CCGCCGGCGACCGGCGCACGGGUGAGUAACACGUAUGCAACCUGGCCGUGACAGAUGGAUAACCGGGAGAAAUCCCGCCUAAUACAACAUAAUGCCGGGAGGGGACAUCCCCUGCCGGCCAAAGGGGGCGACCCCGGUCACGGAUGGGCAUGCGGCGCAUUAGGUAGUUGGUGGGGCAACGGCCACCAAGCCGACGAUGCGUAGGGGUUCUGAGAGGAAGGUCCCCCACAUUGGAACUGAGACACGGUCCAAACUCCUACGGAAGGCAGCAG
RNAcentral lists this ribosomal RNA (272 nucleotides) under uncultured bacterium. RNAcentral describes it as "partial 16S ribosomal RNA". It matches the Rfam family "Bacterial small subunit ribosomal RNA", at positions 85 to 354 of the family's 1533-position model. The record is from RNAcentral.